GCGCUAGUAGCUCAAUUGGACAGAGUGUCUGGUUUCGGCCCAGAAGGUUGAGGGUUCAAAUCCUUCCUGGCGCGCCA
This 77-nucleotide transfer RNA is filed under the name Mycoplasma testudineum. RNAcentral describes it as "tRNA-Arg". It matches the Rfam family "tRNA". From Rfam's summary of the family: Transfer RNA (tRNA) molecules are approximately 80 nucleotides in length. The record is from RNAcentral. Lineage: Bacteria; Bacillati; Mycoplasmatota; Mollicutes; Mycoplasmatales; Mycoplasmataceae.